RNAcentral lists this ribosomal RNA (486 nucleotides) under uncultured bacterium. RNAcentral's name for it is "partial 16S ribosomal RNA". It matches the Rfam family "Bacterial small subunit ribosomal RNA", at positions 30 to 507 of the family's 1533-position model. The record is from RNAcentral.
AUUGAACGCUGGCGGCGUGCCUUACACAUGCAAGUCGAACGGCAGCACGGGUGCUUGCCCCUGGUGGCGUGUGCCGCACGGGUGAGUAAUACAUCGGAACAUGUCCUGUAGUGGGGGGUAGUCCGUCGGAAGCCCCAGUGCUACUGCAUACGAAUUUCGUAUACCACCGGGGUCCCUACUGGACUCCGGCUUUACGGUUAGCCGUUGGCGGAUUAGCUCGUUGGUGGGGUAAAGGCCUACCAAGGCAACGAUAAGUAGCUGGUCUGAGAGGGUGAUCAGCCACACUGGAACUGAGACACGGCCCAGACUCCUACGGGAGGCAGCAGUGGGGAAUUUUGGACAAUGGGCGAAAGCCUGAUCGAGCAAUGCCGCGUGUGUGAAGAAGGCCUUCGGGUUGUAAAGCACUUUUGUCCGGAAAGAAAAAAUGGGCUCUAAUCCAUUCGCGGGAUGACGGUACCGAAUGAAUAAGCACCGGCUAACUACGUG